This 1348-nucleotide ribosomal RNA is filed under the name Lactiplantibacillus plantarum. RNAcentral describes it as "Lactobacillus plantarum 16S ribosomal RNA". It matches the Rfam family "Bacterial small subunit ribosomal RNA", at positions 93 to 1429 of the family's 1533-position model. The record is from RNAcentral. Lineage: Bacteria; Bacillati; Bacillota; Bacilli; Lactobacillales; Lactobacillaceae.
GAGUGGCGAACUGGUGAGUAACACGUGGGAAACCUGCCCAGAAGCGGGGGAUAACACCUGGAAACAGAUGCUAAUACCGCAUAACAACUUGGACCGCAUGGUCCGAGUUUGAAAGAUGGCUUCGGCUAUCACUUUUGGAUGGUCCCGCGGCGUAUUAGCUAGAUGGUGGGGUAACGGCUCACCAUGGCAAUGAUACGUAGCCGACCUGAGAGGGUAAUCGGCCACAUUGGGACUGAGACACGGCCCAAACUCCUACGGGAGGCAGCAGUAGGGAAUCUUCCACAAUGGACGAAAGUCUGAUGGAGCAACGCCGCGUGAGUGAAGAAGGGUUUCGGCUCGUAAAACUCUGUUGUUAAAGAAGAACAUAUCUGAGAGUAACUGUUCAGGUAUUGACGGUAUUUAACCAGAAAGCCACGGCUAACUACGUGCCAGCAGCCGCGGUAAUACGUAGGUGGCAAGCGUUGUCCGGAUUUAUUGGGCGUAAAGCGAGCGCAGGCGGUUUUUUAAGUCUGAUGUGAAAGCCUUCGGCUCAACCGAAGAAGUGCAUCGGAAACUGGGAAACUUGAGUGCAGAAGAGGACAGUGGAACUCCAUGUGUAGCGGUGAAAUGCGUAGAUAUAUGGAAGAACACCAGUGGCGAAGGCGGCUGUCUGGUCUGUAACUGACGCUGAGGCUCGAAAGUAUGGGUAGCAAACAGGAUUAGAUACCCUGGUAGUCCAUACCGUAAACGAUGAAUGCUAAGUGUUGGAGGGUUUCCGCCCUUCAGUGCUGCAGCUAACGCAUUAAGCAUUCCGCCUGGGGAGUACGGCCGCAAGGCUGAAACUCAAAGGAAUUGACGGGGGCCCGCACAAGCGGUGGAGCAUGUGGUUUAAUUCGAAGCUACGCGAAGAACCUUACCAGGUCUUGACAUACUAUGCAAAUCUAAGAGAUUAGACGUUCCCUUCGGGGACAUGGAUACAGGUGGUGCAUGGUUGUCGUCAGCUCGUGUCGUGAGAUGUUGGGUUAAGUCCCGCAACGAGCGCAACCCUUAUUUCAGUUGCCAGCAUUAAGUUGGGCACUCUGGUGAGACUGCCGGUGACAAACCGGAGGAAGGUGGGGAUGACGUCAAAUCAUCAUGCCCCUUAUGACCUGGGCUACACACGUGCUACAAUGGAUGGUACAACGAGUUGCGAACUCGCGAGAGUAAGCUAAUCUCUUAAAGCCAUUCUCAGUUCGGAUUGUAGGCUGCAACUCGCCUACAUGAAGUCGGAAUCGCUAGUAAUCGCGGAUCAGCAUGCCGCGGUGAAUACGUUCCCGGGCCUUGUACACACCGCCCGUCACACCAUGAGAGUUUGUAACACCCAAAGUCG